RNAcentral lists this ribosomal RNA (447 nucleotides) under uncultured bacterium. RNAcentral describes it as "partial 16S ribosomal RNA". It matches the Rfam family "Bacterial small subunit ribosomal RNA", at positions 331 to 793 of the family's 1533-position model. The record is from RNAcentral.
CCAGACUCCUACGGGAGGCAGCAGUGGGGAAUAUUGCACAAUGGGGGGAACCCUGAUGCAGCGACGCCGCGUGGGCGAGGAAGUAUUUCGGUAUGUAAAGCCCUAUCGGCAGGGAAGAAGAAAUGACGGUACCUGAAUAAGAAGCACCGGCUAAAUACGUGCCAGCAGCCGCGGUAAUACGUGGGGGGCAAGCGUUAUCCGGAUUUACUGGGUGUAAAGGGAGCGUAGACGGCGAUGCAAGUCUGAAGUGAAAGGCGGGGGCCCAACCCCCGGACUGCUUUGGAAACUGUAUAGCUGGAGUGCAGGAGAGGUAAGUGGAAUUCCUAGUGUAGCGGUGAAAUGCGUAGAUAUUAGGAGGAACACCAGUGGCGAAGGCGGCUUACUGGACCGAAACUGACGUUGAGGCUCGAAAGCGUGGGGAGCAAACAGGAUUAGAUACCCGGGUAC